Molecule: long non-coding RNA, 228 nt
Filed under: Solanum tuberosum (potato)
Lineage: Eukaryota; Viridiplantae; Streptophyta; Magnoliopsida; Solanales; Solanaceae
Description: long non-coding RNA (STUB_LNC004653)
Source: RNAcentral
ACAUUAUUAAGUAGUAGCGGUACGUGUAGUAUUAUGAAGGAUUGUAAAGUAAGAACUUCCUUUCUAUAUAAAGGAAGGUAUAUGUAAAUGAAAAGGCAGGUAACGCCUAAGACAAUAAAAAUCCUCUUUCAUAAAAAUACUCUCUCAACUAAGAUAAAUAUUUAAAAUACUAAUGGAAAAAUAUGAAAUCCAAUCAGAUAUUUCAGAUAGCAUGGCUAAGCAAGAGGC